GCUAGAGGUUGGAGCAGGGAUGGAGGAGGGGGCCUCAGGCAAGCUGAUAAUUUGGUGCCAGUGGCUGACAUCAGUUGGUGGGCCUCCCAGCAUGCAUUUCCUUCUCUGGGCAGCGCAUCCCAAUUUUGCUUCGGAAUAAACCACCAUGCCUCCAGCAUCAUUUAAUUCGGGAGGCAUGGCCCCAGCCCCAGCUGUGGGCUGUGUGUGUGACUGAGACUUGCUCCAAGGCACAAUUUCAGUUCCUUCCAGGCUCAUCACACACCAAUACUGCAAGAGUCUCUGUUGGAUGGCACAAGUUCAGAUGGGGAAACUGAGGCUCACUCAAGUGCAUACCACAUAGAGAGUUCCUAAGGAAAUUGUAUUCUCGCUUUCCAUCAUCCUUGUGUCUGAAGCCCCCCGGGGGCGGGCGGUACGUGAUGCUUGUCUGACUGGCGAGGGGAAGACCUGCCCGUCCUCCGGCGGGCUUGACACCCCUCCCUGCCCCAUGCCACCAUCCGCCAUGAGAUGGGAAGCCGUGGAGCCUGGUCAAGCUGGAUCCCAGGUCAUCAGGAAUCAGACUGCAAUUAACAGUGCCCCGAACAAGGAACGGGCUGCUUCCGCACCCCAGCUCUGUGGGUCCCCAAGCCUGUCUACUCUCUCCUAAAACCCAGUUCCAGCUUUCUAUACAUUUAAAGCAGCUCCACGCUUCUCUUGCUCUGUUGUGACUUCAUAUCCACAGCUUUAUUUUAAGUUCUGUCACCUCAUCUCAUUUGUGCCUUAAAGUGGUUUAGAGCUAAGCAGAAAAGACAAGUAGUUGCACUCCGAGGGAUGUGUGGGGAAGCCUGAGAGGGAC
RNAcentral lists this long non-coding RNA (832 nucleotides) under Mustela putorius furo (domestic ferret). RNAcentral describes it as "lncRNA (ENSMPUG00000025032.1)". Lineage: Eukaryota; Metazoa; Chordata; Mammalia; Carnivora; Mustelidae. The record is from RNAcentral.